Long non-coding RNA from Astyanax mexicanus (Mexican tetra), 2103 nucleotides. RefSeq lists it as uncharacterized. The record is from RefSeq and is a predicted model, not a curated record. Lineage: Eukaryota; Metazoa; Chordata; Actinopteri; Characiformes; Acestrorhamphidae. The transcript is spliced from 3 exons.
AACGUUUAAGAGGGGGGUCUUUGGAAACCUGGGGAGGCCUGAGACCAUGAUGUCUGUGUGAUUUGGACACGCCCACGACCUGGUGUUCUCUGGAGCAGCCAAUGGAGACUUGAAGACCAUCAAAGCCCACGAUGGAUCUGUGUUCACCAUGUUCUCUUUAGAGAAGGAAAAUGGGGCGGUCCUGGAAAUAGACAAGAGUGGACCAAUUACCCUGCUGGUUCAGAUUGUUCGAGAAGACACCCAGCAGUUUCUACGGAUAGAUCUCCAGUGGUUGAGAGAUCCCAUUGCUAAAAAGGCCCAGAUGAUGCAAGAACAUUUUAUCCUUUUUUGGUGCUCUUUUCUCUAUUUGAGUAAAAUAAAUCUUCCCCUGCAGGGUUUGUCCGUUACCUGUUUUUUCUCUCAUCAGUUGGUGUCCUAGCACCCUCUAAUGUCACUUAACUAUAACAUAAUAUACAAUGAAUGUAGUUAUAUUAAUAUAUUAUGACCUUCUUAAAAUUAGGAAAAGAAAAAUCACUAGUCUUCACGUAUAGUAAUCUAGCUAAGCCACCUAUUUCACCUUAAAUGGUACAGCAGCUAUUACUCUAGCUGUUGUAUGAUUUAAGGUGGAACGGAAAAUUUUACAAGAAGCUAAGUUAAUACAGCUAAGUAAACUGUAGCUCCUUAUCUAAUCAAGAAAUUACAAGUGGGUUAUAAAGAACUGCCACAUUUUGAAGACACACCUUCCCAAUAUAUUUUUCCUGCAUAGUUAAAGUGAUCCAGAACAUUAAGAAACACAUAAGGAAUCAUGUAGUAACUUAUAAGUGUUAAACAAACCAAAAUACUCUGAAGCAUUUAGGGUCUUAUCUGGAGAGCUGUUUGUUUCUGAAGCUGGUAAUUCUGACCUGAUGAGAGCCAGUUUAAUCAUAACGUUUUGAUGGCGACAAUUUUUUUUAGACCGAAGUAUCUUCAAGUGUAAAGUAUUUUUUACAUUACUCAAAUAUUCACUAUUCACUGUAUACCUGUAACUCUACCUCUUCACUACUUUACUUUAACUGAUGCUCUCAAACACUUUAUUAAGAGACAAGAAGUUCAAGUAAUUACAUUACAUUACAUUACAUUACAUUUGGCAGAUGCUUUUGUCCAAAGCGACUUACAAUAGUCAAGUACAAUGUAAAAUAAGUUUAAAGGUAAAACAUCUUUGGAUAGGGAUAAAAGGAGGUCAAAGGGGAAUAAUAGGAUAGAGGAGUGAAGGAGGGGAAGAAGGAAAUGAGGUUAGAAGUAGUUAGUGUGUUAGAGGUGUUAGGAGAGUAAGUGCUCUUUGAAGAGCUCUGUCUUCAGGAGUUUAUUAAAGAUAGUGAGAGAUUCUCCUGAUCUGGUAGUAGAAGGUAGUUAGUUAGAGGUGUUAGGAGAGUAAGUGCUCUUUGAAGAGCUCUGUCUUCAGGAGUUUAUUAAAGAUAGUGAGAGAUUCUCCUGAUCUGGUAGUGGAAGGUAGUUUGUUCCACCAUUGGGGAACUCUGUAUGAACUCUUGAUGAGUUCAGCACAGCUGUUAACUGAAAGCCUGAAUUCCAGGAGACUCUACCUCGUAAAGCUGACUGAGAAAAUCCAGCAGAGAUCUAAGAAAGAGGAGCUACUUUGAAUAAUUAAACAUAUAAAACAUAUUCUGGUUUGUUUAACACUUUGUUUUUUUGUCUACUAAAUAAUUCCACAUGUUGUUUUUCAUAGUUUGAAUGAGUUUAGUAUUCAUCUACAACGCAGAACAUUUUAAAAUAAUGAAAAACCCUGCUAAAUUGAAGGGGGAGGAAUUUGUCUAGGUGUUAAAAAAAACAGAUAAUUUCUUACUAAUUCCACAUGUUGUUUUUCAUAGUUUGAAUGAGUUUAGUAUUCAUCUACAACGCAGAACAUUUUAAAAUAAUGAAAAACCCUGCUAAAUUGAAGGGGGAGGAAUUUGUCUAGGUGUUAAAAAAAACAGAUAAUUUCUUACCUUUGUUCCAGAGGCACGAAUUUUCUCAACGUAGUCCCAGACUAUCUGCGGAGAGAUCCUUCCACCAACCUGGAUGCUGUCCGGCAGGUCCUGUAACAGUCAUAAACAGAUAAAUUAGUGUCCUUUUUUUUUUUUUUUUUUU